Rhodopirellula maiorica SM1 is the source of this 46-nucleotide small RNA. It matches the Rfam family "Acido-Lenti-1 RNA". The record is from Rfam. Lineage: Bacteria; Pseudomonadati; Planctomycetota; Planctomycetia; Pirellulales; Pirellulaceae.
CCCCGGACUGGCGUCCGGGGCUACUGCCUACCGUCGCGUUGCGACU